RNAcentral lists this unclassified non-coding RNA (307 nucleotides) under plant metagenome. Its description in RNAcentral is "partial contains 5.8S ribosomal RNA, internal transcribed spacer 2, and large subunit ribosomal RNA". The stretch from base 1 to 105 matches the Rfam family "5.8S ribosomal RNA", at positions 50 to 154 of the family's 154-position model. The record is from RNAcentral.
GAAAUGCGAUAAGUAAUGUGAAUUGCAGAAUUCAGUGAAUCAUCGAAUCUUUGAACGCACCUUGCGCUCCUUGGUAUUCCUUGGAGCAUGCCUGUUUGAGCGUCAUCUACACCCUCAAGCUCUGCUUGGUGUUGGGCGUCUGUCCCGCCUCCGCGCGCGGACUCGCCCCAAAUGCAUUGGCAGCGGUUCCUUGCCCCCCUCUUUGCGCAGCACAUUGCCAUUCGAGGCGGCGGCGACCCGCGUCCAACAAGCUCAACCCCCCCGUCUUUGACCUCGGAUCAGGUAGGGAUACCCGCUGAACUUAAGC